This 273-nucleotide ribosomal RNA is filed under the name uncultured bacterium. RNAcentral describes it as "partial 16S ribosomal RNA". It matches the Rfam family "Bacterial small subunit ribosomal RNA", at positions 524 to 796 of the family's 1533-position model. The record is from RNAcentral.
UACGGGGGGAGCAAGCGUUGUUCGGAUUUACUGGGCGUAAAGGGCGCGUAGGCGGCGUGACAAGUCACUUGUGAAAUCUCCGGGCUUAACUCGGAACGGUCAAGUGAUACUGUCGUGCUAGAGUGCGGAAGGGGCAACUGGAAUUCUUGGUGUAGCGGUGAAAUGCGUAGAUAUCAAGAGGAACACCUGCGGCGAAGGCGGGUUGCUGGGCCGACACUGACGCUGAGGCGCGAAAGCUAGGGGAGCGAACGGGAUUAGAAACCCCAGUAGUCC